UAACGAGCCAAGGGGUGCCUGAAAAUCGUAUACGAUUUUAAAGGCUGAGAUGCGAAGCGAACCCUUAGAACCUGAACCGGAUAGUACCGGCGUAGGAAUGGUUAAGCUAAUCGCA
Molecule: non-coding RNA, 115 nt
Filed under: Colwellia sp.
Lineage: Bacteria; Pseudomonadati; Pseudomonadota; Gammaproteobacteria; Alteromonadales; Colwelliaceae
Description: TPP sequence
Rfam family: TPP riboswitch aptamer (THI element)
About the family: Vitamin B(1) in its active form thiamin pyrophosphate (TPP) is an essential coenzyme that is synthesised by coupling of pyrimidine and thiazole moieties in bacteria. The previously detected thiamin-regulatory element, thi box was extended, resulting in a new, highly conserved RNA secondary structure, the THI element, which is widely distributed in eubacteria and also occurs in some archaea.
Source: RNAcentral